Onthophagus taurus is the source of this 248-nucleotide non-coding RNA. NCBI's taxonomy places the organism in Eukaryota, Metazoa, Arthropoda, Insecta, Coleoptera, Scarabaeidae. The record is from RefSeq and is a predicted model, not a curated record.
AAAUAAGUUAUGAAGGCAAAAAUAAAAUGAAAGGACGUGGUGGGGUAGCUAAAAUGGCACGUAAUAAAAAAAUUGUUAAUGAACUUGCUAAAAAGGAAUUUGUGAAGAAAGUGAAAGCUUUGAAAGAAAGUGGAGGGAAAAAUAAGAUUUUAAAAGCAACGAAACCUGCAAGUGCUUUGGAUCGAUUCUUACCUAAAAAAUAAACUUAUUUUAAUAAUUAUUAUUAAAUAAACUGAUUGAAACAAUAA